UACGUAGGGUCCGAGCGUUGUCCGGAAUCACUGGGCGUAAAGCGCACGUAGGCGGCCUUCUAAGUCGAACGUGAAAUCCCCGGGCUCAACCCGGGAACUGCGUCCGAUACUGGAAGGCUUGAAUCCGGAAGAGGCGAGUGGAAUUCCCGGUGUAGCGGUGAAAUGCGCAGAUAUCAGGAGGAACACCGGUGGCGAAGGCGGGUCUCUGGGCCGAUACUGACGCUGAGGAGCGAAAGCGUGGGGAGCGAACAGG
Molecule: ribosomal RNA, 253 nt
Filed under: uncultured bacterium
Lineage: Bacteria
Description: partial 16S ribosomal RNA
Rfam family: Bacterial small subunit ribosomal RNA
Source: RNAcentral